AGGGAAUCUUCGGCAAUGGACGGAAGUCUGACCGAGCAACGCCGCGUGAGUGAAGAAGGUUUUCGGAUCGUAAAGCUCUGUUGUAAGAGAAGAACGAGUGUGAGAGUGGAAAGUUCACACUGCGACGGUAUCUUACCAGAAAGGGACGGCUAACUACGUGCCAGCAGCCGCGGUAAUACGUAGGUCCCGAGCGUUGUCCGGAUUUAUUGGGCGUAAAGCGAGCGCAGGCGGUUAGAUAAGCCUGAAGUUAAAGGCUGUGGCUUAACCAUAGUACGCUUUGGAAACUGUUUAACUUGAGUGCAAGAGGGGAGAGUGGAAUUCCAUGUGUAGCGGUGAAAUGCGUAGAUAUAUGGAGGAACACCGGUGGCGAAAGCGGCUCUCUGGCUUGUAACUGACGCUGAGGCUCGAAAGCGUGGGGAGCAAACAGGAUUAGAUACCCUGGUAGUCCACGCCGUAAACGAUGAGUGCUAGGUGUUAGACCCUUUCCGGGGUUUAGUGCCGUAGCUAACGCAUUAAGCACUCCGCCUGGGGAGUACGACCGCAAGGUUG
This 549-nucleotide ribosomal RNA is filed under the name uncultured bacterium. RNAcentral's name for it is "bacterial SSU rRNA". It matches the Rfam family "Bacterial small subunit ribosomal RNA", at positions 356 to 896 of the family's 1533-position model. The record is from RNAcentral.